RNAcentral lists this ribosomal RNA (449 nucleotides) under uncultured bacterium. Its description in RNAcentral is "partial 16S ribosomal RNA". It matches the Rfam family "Bacterial small subunit ribosomal RNA", at positions 29 to 523 of the family's 1533-position model. The record is from RNAcentral.
AACGAACGCUGGCGGCAGGCCUAACACAUGCAAGUCGAACGCCUCAGCAAUGGGGAGUGGCAGACGGGUGAGUAACACGUGGGAACGUACCCUUCGGUUCGGAAUAACUCAGGGAAACUUGAGCUAAUACCGGAUACGUCCGAGAGGAGAAAGAUUUAUUGCCGAAGGAUCGGCCCGCGUCUGAUUAGCUUGUUGGUGAGGUAACGGCUCACCAAGGCGACGAUCAGUAGCUGGUCUGAGAGGAUGAUCAGCCACAUUGGGACUGAGACACGGCCCAAACUCCUACGGGAGGCAGCAGAGGGGAAUAUUGGACAAUGGGCGAAAGACUGAUCCAGCCAUGCCGCGUGAGUGAUGAAGGCCUUAGGGUUGUAAAGCUCUUUUACCUGGGAAGAUAAUGACGGUACCAGGAGAAUAAGCCCCGGCUAACUUCGUGCCAGCAGCCGCAGUAA